GACGAACGCUGGCGGCGUGCCUAAUACAUGCAAGUAGAACGCACAGUUUAUACCGUAGCUUGCUACACCAUAGACUGUGAGUUGCGAACGGGUGAGUAACGCGUAGGUAACCUUCCUGGUAGCGGGGGAUAACUAUUGGAAACGAUAGCUAAUACCGCAUAAUAUUGAUUAUUGCAUGAUAAUUAAUUGAAAGGUGCAAUUGCACCACUACCAGAUGGACCUGCGUUGUAUUAGCUAGUAGGUGAGGUAACGGCUCACCUAGGCGACGAUACAUAGCCGACCUGAGAGGGUGAUCGGCCACACUGGGACUGAGACACGGCCCAGACGCCUUCGGGAGGCAGCAGUAGGGAAUCUUCGGCAAUAGACGAAAGUCUGACCGAGCAACGCCGCGUGAGUGAAGAAGGUUUUCGGAUCGUAAAGCUCUGUUGUAAGGGAAGAACGGGUGUGAGAGUGGAAAGUUCACACUGUGACGGUAUCUUACCAGAAAGGGACGGCUAACUACGUG
This 505-nucleotide ribosomal RNA is filed under the name uncultured bacterium. Its description in RNAcentral is "partial 16S ribosomal RNA". It matches the Rfam family "Bacterial small subunit ribosomal RNA", at positions 28 to 507 of the family's 1533-position model. The record is from RNAcentral.